RNAcentral lists this ribosomal RNA (417 nucleotides) under uncultured bacterium. RNAcentral's name for it is "bacterial SSU rRNA". It matches the Rfam family "Bacterial small subunit ribosomal RNA", at positions 28 to 452 of the family's 1533-position model. The record is from RNAcentral.
GAUGAACGCUGGCGGCGUGCCUAACACAUGCAAGUCGAGCGAUUCUCUUCGGAGAAGAGCGGCGGGACGGGUGAGUAACGCGUGGGUAACCUGCCCUGUACACACGGAUAACAUACCGAAAGGUAUGCUAAUACGAGAUAAUAUACUUUUAUCGCAUGGUAGAAGUAUCAAAGCUUUUGCGGUACAGGAUGGACCCGCGUCUGAUUAGCUAGUUGGUAAGGUAACGGCUUACCAAGGCGACGAUCAGUAGCCGACCUGAGAGGGUGAUCGGCCACAUUGGAACUGAGACACGGUCCAAACUCCUACGGGAGGCAGCAGUGGGGAAUAUUGCACAAUGGGCGAAAGCCUGAUGCAGCAACGCCGCGUGAGCGAUGAAGGCCUUCGGGUCGUAAACGCUCUGUCCUCAAGGAAGAUAAU